RNAcentral lists this ribosomal RNA (421 nucleotides) under uncultured Chitinophagaceae bacterium. Its description in RNAcentral is "bacterial SSU rRNA". It matches the Rfam family "Bacterial small subunit ribosomal RNA", at positions 356 to 774 of the family's 1533-position model. Lineage: Bacteria; Pseudomonadati; Bacteroidota; Chitinophagia; Chitinophagales; Chitinophagaceae. The record is from RNAcentral.
AAGGAAUAUUGGUCAAUGGACGAAAGUCUGAACCAGCCAUGCCGCGUGAAGGAUUAAGGUCCUCUGGAUUGUAAACUUCUUUUAUAUGGGACGAAAAAAGGGCAUUCUUGCUCACUUGACGGUACUAUAUGAAUAAGCACCGGCUAACUCCGUGCCAGCAGCCGCGGUAAUACGGAGGGUGCAAGCGUUAUCCGGAUUCACUGGGUUUAAAGGGUGCGUAGGCGGAUAGGUAAGUCAGUGGUGAAAUCUCGGAGCUUAACUUCGAAACUGCCAUUGAUACUAUCUAUCUUGAAUAUUGUGGAGGUUUGCGGAAUAUGUCAUGUAGCGGUGAAAUGCUUAGAUAUGACAUAGAACACCUAUUGCGAAGGCAGCAGGCUACACAUAUAUUGACGCUGAGGCACGAAAGCGUGGGGAUCAAACA